Molecule: transfer RNA, 72 nt
Organism: Ichthyophthirius multifiliis
Lineage: Eukaryota; Ciliophora; Oligohymenophorea; Hymenostomatida
Rfam family: tRNA
About the family: Transfer RNA (tRNA) molecules are approximately 80 nucleotides in length. Their secondary structure includes four short double-helical elements and three loops (D, anti-codon, and T loops). Further hydrogen bonds mediate the characteristic L-shaped molecular structure. tRNAs have two regions of fundamental functional importance: the anti-codon, which is responsible for specific mRNA codon recognition, and the 3' end, to which the tRNAs corresponding amino acid is attached (by aminoacyl-tRNA synthetases). tRNAs cope with the degeneracy of the genetic code in two manners: having more than one tRNA (with a specific anti-codon) for a particular amino acid; and 'wobble' base-pairing, i.e. permitting non-standard base-pairing at the 3rd anti-codon position.
Source: Rfam
GGAUGUAUGGUGUAGUGGUUAGCACUGAGGAUUCUGAUUCCUUCGACCGGGGUUCGACUCCCCGUAUAUCCU